GCGCAGCAGGCGAGAAUACUUUACAAUGUGCGAAAGCACGAUAAGGGAACUCUGAGUGCCUCCUAAGGAGGCUGUUCAGGUGUCUAAAAAGCACCUGGAGUAAGGGCUGGGUAAGACCGGUGCCAGCCGCCGCGGUAACACCGGCAGCCCAGGUGGUAGCCACUUUUAUUGGGUCUAAAGCGUCCGUAGCCGGUUGAGUAAGUUCCUUGGGAAAUUUGGCUGCUCAACAGUCAAGCUUCCAGGGAAUACUGCUCGACUUGGGGACUGGGGAGAGGUCAGAGGUACUCCAGGGGUAGGGGUGAAAAUCCAUUAAUCCCUGGGGGACCACCGGUAGCGAAGGCGUCUGACCAGACCAGGUCCGACGGUGAGGGACGAAGGCUAGGGGCGCGAACCGG
Molecule: ribosomal RNA, 395 nt
Filed under: uncultured microorganism
Description: bacterial SSU rRNA
Rfam family: Archaeal small subunit ribosomal RNA
Source: RNAcentral